CCUACGGGAGGCAGCAGUGGGGAAUAUUGGGCAAUGGAGGAAACUCUGACCCAGCAACGCCGCGUGAAUGAUGAAGGUCUUCGGAUUGUAAAGUUCUUUUCUAAGGGAAGAAGAAAGUGACGGUACCUUAGGAAUAAGCCUCGGCUAACUACGUGCCAGCAGCCGCGGUAAUACGUAGGAGGCGAGCGUUAUCCGGAAUGACUGGGCGUAAAGGGUGCGGAGGUGGGUUGGCAAGUUAGUAGCGGAACUCCCAGGCUCAACCUUGGAACUACUAAUAAAAAUGUUGGACCUGAGUGCAGGGAGGGCCAACCGGAAUCCCAGGUGUAGCGGUGAAAGG
Molecule: ribosomal RNA, 337 nt
Filed under: uncultured bacterium
Lineage: Bacteria
Description: partial 16S ribosomal RNA
Rfam family: Bacterial small subunit ribosomal RNA
Source: RNAcentral